Long non-coding RNA from Brassica oleracea var. oleracea, 620 nucleotides. RefSeq lists it as uncharacterized. The record is from RefSeq and is a predicted model, not a curated record. The transcript has 4 exons. Lineage: Eukaryota; Viridiplantae; Streptophyta; Magnoliopsida; Brassicales; Brassicaceae.
AAUCUUUCUGAGAAGGUUGGCGAUGAUGUUGUUCGUCCUAUAUGUUGAGGAAGAGCCACUUAAACGAAGCAUAGAUUCAGAUAAUGACUCGGAAGACGAAGCGGCUAGUGCUGUGAAUCCUUUGUCUAGCGAUGCUGCUCACAUCCAUCCAUUGUUACAAAAUCUCCUGCUCAACAAUGACAUCCAGAGGGAAAGAUAAAAUUUAAUCGGAUUGAUUCAACUCCAUGAUCCAACUGCUCGUAAGUUUUCUCUUUCCUGACCAGAGUUUUGCUUUUUUCUGUUUAACUAGUUUGAUUGAUUAUGAUCUUGAUUUGUACUGAGAGAAAUGCACCCAUGAAUGCAUGAAGGCGAGCAGGACCAGUUUGCUUCUCAUUUUGCUUUUGACAUAGAGUGGAAGUUGGUGUGAGGAUAGGAAUAAAAGCUUUUAAGUUCCGAAAAUUCACAGACAGGAGCGGAGGCAGAUCUAGCUUCGGAAAAAAAAUGGUUUUGAUUGUUCCAAUGGUUUUAAAUGCUGCAGUCAGAAGAAAGCAAAUGCUCAGCUAGAAGAACAGAUACAGCGCUUGACGAAGAGCAGUGAUCCAUAAAGACAUGAUUUACUUUGCACUCCAUUUUGAGUGAGG